CAGCCGCCACGGUAAUACGUAGGUGGCAAGCGUUGUCCGGAAUUACUGGGCGUAAAGCGUGCGCAGGCGGUUCGUUAAGACAGAUGUGAAAUCCCCGGGCUUAACCUGGGAACUGCAUUUGUGACUGGCGAGCUAGAGUAUGGCAGAGGGGGGUAGAAUUCCACGUGUAGCAGUGAAAUGCGUAGAGAUGUGGAGGAAUACCGAUGGCGAAGGCAGCCCCCUGGGCCAAUACUGACGCUCAUGCACGAAAGCGUGGGGAGCAAACAGGAUUAGAUACCCCAGUAGUCCCUGUCUCUUAUAA
Molecule: ribosomal RNA, 301 nt
Filed under: uncultured bacterium
Lineage: Bacteria
Description: partial 16S ribosomal RNA
Rfam family: Bacterial small subunit ribosomal RNA
Source: RNAcentral